This 302-nucleotide long non-coding RNA is filed under the name Pan troglodytes (chimpanzee). RNAcentral describes it as "long non-coding RNA NONPTRT012139". Lineage: Eukaryota; Metazoa; Chordata; Mammalia; Primates; Hominidae. The record is from RNAcentral.
UUUCAGUUGAGAAGCUGCCUUUGCAGUGGAGAUUCCAGGAACUUAUCCCUUUUGAAUGGGAUGACCACAAAGAGUCUAGAGGAGCAGAUAUGAGUGACCAGAUCCUAGAGGUCAAAGAGCAUAAGAAGCCUCUCACGCUAAACAUCACAGCUGGGAAUAUGCUGGACCACAACUAAAGCCAGCAUGGCACUGACUCUGACCAAAGGUGAGACCCAGUACUCAUCAAGGUGAGUACAGCCUGUCUACCGCUGUUGGUUAUUUCGGGCCCAAGGGUACUUUAGUUAGCAGGUGAUGAAUCCUUC